AGCGCAGACGGUUGAUUAAGUCUGAUCUGAAAGCCCGGAGCUCAACUCCGGAAUGGCAUUGGAAACUGGUUAACUUGAGUGCAGUAGAGGUAAGUGGAACUCCAUGUGUAGCGGUGGAAUGCGUAGAUAUAUGGAAGAACACCAGUGGCGAAGGCGGCUUACUGGACUGUAACUGACGUUGAGGCUCGAAAGUGUGGGUAGCAAACA
Molecule: ribosomal RNA, 207 nt
Filed under: uncultured bacterium
Lineage: Bacteria
Description: partial 16S ribosomal RNA
Rfam family: Bacterial small subunit ribosomal RNA
Source: RNAcentral